Non-coding RNA from Carassius carassius (crucian carp), 479 nucleotides. Lineage: Eukaryota; Metazoa; Chordata; Actinopteri; Cypriniformes; Cyprinidae. The record is from the annotation of a RefSeq genome assembly.
UGAAGACUGCGCUUAAAACUCCACGGAUGAUUAUUAGUGUGUGACACCGACACACACACAGAAGAAACAAUGAUUUCUCUUAUUCUAACUCUGGGGACAUUCUGUCUGCUUGCACAAGUGUCUCAUGAAGAGGUUCAGUCUCCUGAGUCUCUGUCUGUUAAAGCAGGAGAAUCUGUCUCUAUCAACUGCACUGGGACCAGCGGAGUUGGUGAUGACAUGAGCUGGUAUCUGCUGAAAACUAGAGAAGCUCCUAAACUCCUGAUCUACACAGCCACUGAACUUGAAUCUGGAGUCCCAGAUCGAUUCAGUGGAAGUGGAUCUGAACCUGAUUUCACACUGAACAUACGUGGAGUCCAGUCUGAGGAUGCAGGAGUUUAUUACUGUAUGGGGUAUUAUAGUGAUACAGUGUUCACACAGUGAAACAGCAUCGUACAAAAACCUCCCUCAGUCUGACAGCUAAGAGAAUAUGAGGAUAAUUU